UAGCACAGAUUUUAAAAAUUUCAUGCAGCAGUCUUCCCUAACAUGACCCCCCCUCCCCAUACGCUGUGGUAUGCAUCCCCUUUUCUGCCGGCUGGAAAAAAUUGUCCUAGUAGUAGAGAGCGCCUGGUUUUGCCCAGACUGAGAAAGACACAAAUACAAGAUGUUUGAAAUACCAGAAUAUAGAAUGGCAGAUUCCACCCCCAAUUGGUACUCUCAUUUGUUUGCUUUAAAGUAGACGGCAUAUGACUUUAAACCAUCUUGAUUUCAUUGGUGUUUUCUGGCCUGAAUGUUGUUAGGAUGUCAAAUGAAUGUCCAUCUGGGGCCCCCAACUUGGCAUAUAGGGGUGACAUUAUCCAUACAUACUCCCAGAUUUCUUGCUGCAUCUGAGCUUUUGCAACUUAGUAAAAAGAAGAAGAAAAAAGGGUGAUGGGGUAGGAUGCUGCAAAGCAAAUUAUCAACUCUUUUCAUCUUUAUUUUCAGGAAUGUCUCAGAUUUCUAUAAACUUUUUAAAAAAGAAAAUAAAAAUAGUGAGUUGAUGCUGUCCAUUGUUAAGUCUGGAGUUGUGUCCAUUUGCUCAGAAAAGGAGACAAAAAUAAGCAGGUUAAUAGGACAUAUGCAUCAAGAAGUGACGGAGGUGUCAUUUUAUAAACUGAUCCUUUACAACUGACAAUGUCUUCAUUUACUGAAGCAUGAGCCUUUUGCCCCAAAUGUAUUAGAGUGCCUCCAGGGCUGUUGUUAAGAUUCCAAAGAUUCCCCCCCCCAGAUUAAGAACUCUUGAUUUAUUGUAAUUGUCACUCCAAAAUUGACUGAUGCAAAAGAUAUACUUGUCUGCCCUCUAGUGUCACACUGUGACAACAGCUAUUUGUAACAAAGAGCUAAGGAUACUCCUGUUAUCAACCUGAUUGUACCCAGCCAAUAAUUGCACUAAACAUUCUUUGCAAGAAGACUAUGGGAACCUAUAGUUAUUGUAAUGCUACUACUGUGCAUGCAUUCCACCAUCCUGCUAUAAUAGAAAUGAUGCGAUUAUUUUAUAUGCUUUUGCUUAUGGUUUUUCAGUACAUUUCAAAUUAGGCACAUGCAAAUUAAGUAUAUGCAAAUUAGCCUUCCUUUGUUUUGAGCUACUGAGAUUCUUUGUAAGUAUUAUAACCUGGUAAUUUCUGUAAUGUAAAUAUUUAUCUGCCCGAUUAUAUUCUGAGAUAUUUCAGGUUUCUGGAAUAACAGUAUAAAAAUCAAGGUGUUCUGCUGCUUAGCAAUAUCUUCUAAUAAAAGAAUAUCUGCCUCAAAUCUGUACUUGAAAAAACUGAAUUCUCCAUUAAUUUAUGUUGAGAAAGAAAUUGGAGGAGGCAGCAAGAAAGAGAAAAAUAUUUGCAGCAACAUUUCUAUUCGAUAAUCUUAAAAUAUUCUUGUUUAUGUGUAAAAAAAGAAAGCAAUGGUAUCUGUGAUUCCGAGUUGGCCUUAACCUGGAUUUUUAUUCCCAGAACCUUAGUGUCAGAAAAACCAUGGGAAUUGCCAUAGUAAAAAAGAAGCUACUUUUCAAAGUAUGUGUUCUUUCCCAUAGAAAAAACACAGCAAGUUGCGUAGCUGUUAGAAGGACAAGAAAAGAAUGUGACCCAAGUGACAAUGUGGUGAGUCAGGUAUGGCAAGCACAUUUUCCCAGGCCCAGGCAACUCAUAUUAUCAUGGCCCUGUAUGUUACAGUGUCUUACAAAUGCUAAUGAUUGUGAAAGUAUGUUGAUUAUGUAAUCUUGGGUGUAGACUUCUUUUCACUGCAAGGAACAAUAUCUGAGUGGAUUAUUAAAAAUAGUGGAUACUAAUUUUUUCCCUUUUCCCUGCAGCCCCAGGCUUACAAACUAUGCUGAAUGGGAUAUUCCCAAUUUUCUCAAUCUUCUGGUAGAUGGGGAUAGAACAGCAAGUGGAGAGAGAAACCAGCAGAAUGAUAUCAUCAGCAACACAUGUAAAAAUAUUUGAUGUAAAACUAUUGAAGUGUACAAGUUGCCCUUUCUCAACCAAAGAACAUCUUGUCUUAUUUUUUUCCCUUGCCUUGAUUGUACCUGAUUCAUAUUUUUAUCUCUUUGUUGGAAAGUACUCUGUAUUGAGUUUAUUUCAUGGGUUAACUUUGUUCUUUUAUCUCUUUUGGAUUCAUUUUGCUUUUGAGUUCACUGGAAUUCAUCUGAAGUUAUUGUCAUUUGUGAUUGGAAUGAUGUGGCUUUAGUGCAUUCCUGAUUAAAGGAACAACAACAACAAAAUAGACAGAGCAGUGGUGGUAUUAAGCUGGUUCUGUCCAGUUCAGGUGAACCGAUAGGGGCGACUGCGGAUGGCCCAUCCACCUGUGCAGACAUCACAAUGUCCCAAUUUUCCACAUUUUUGAGGCUCUGCACAUGCGCAGAAGAUGGUGUGUGCAUACACACAUUUGCGAACCGGUAGAGAAACAGAACAAUUGGCAGCUCUUCCAUUGGCCUUUGCAAUUAUUCUUUUAAGAAGCAACUCCAUCAACCUUAAUCAAAAAGAACUCUUCUAAAUACUUCUUUGGCUGGAACCUUAUGGAAGAAUGGCCAAAUGAUGAUGCUUACUGAAUGCAGGAAUACUGCCCUGUAAUGAAAUGCAAUGUUGAUACAGAAAACAUGUUAUAAAUGACGUCCUUAUUGGGUGUUGUGUGUGAUGACAUUCUGCAUGGAGCUCAUAAGCCAGGUAAGAUCAUUUCAAGUAUCUGCUAUGGUUUGAAAUCCAGAAUCCACAGAUGGUAGUAUCAUUUUCAGGAGUUAUUAAAAUAUCAUAAAAAUGUGUAAAUGCUUUCAAGUUCUCAGGAGUUCAACAAAUUUGGCUGUACAGCAAACAGAGACUGUGUAGAAACAAUAUUAAAGAACCACAUCUACAAAUCAGAGCAGAUCUUGUGCCCAUAAGGCCUGCAGUUCAUGAGUAUAUUGGAAUUGGUCUGCAGUAAGUGUUGCAAGUAUCAGAUUAUGCCUAAUAUUCGGGGACAAAGAUCAAAAGGUUGGCAUGCCUACAUAUACAGACCAGGGGUGAGUUCUACUUAUCUUUACUACCAGUUCACAACGGGAUCACGCGUGCGCCCUCACUUUGCUCAUGAGUGCGUCUUGCUUCUGCGCAUGCGCAGAUCGCCGAUGACGACAUCCAGGGCAGUGGAUGGGGCCUCCCGCCGGUUUUACUACCGGUUCUUGCGAACUGGUCUGAACCGGGGGCAACCCACCACUGAUACAGACUAUAUUGUCUGUCAUCCCUGCCCAACAUAUUUUUUCUUUGCUUUUUGUAAAUACUAUAUUCAUAGAUCUUUCAGGCUGAUUGUGCCACAGUAAGAUAUAUACUUGAGUAAUCAAGAGUGCAUGUAUGUAUUUACUUUCCUCUUAUUUAUAUAUCCAAUAAUGCUUUCACAUCAUGUGCUAGUAUGAUUGCUGUUGGGUUAGGCAUCCAUAAUCAUAUUACAUCUGACUUGUAAUACAAUAUAGUAACUACAGCAUAUUGUUUAGUCAAUUGACCAUAUCAAGAAGACUUGUAAUACGAUCACCUUACAGAAAACCAAUUGAUUUACAAUGGAUCAAUUGACUCCUAUCUGGGCACCAACAUAGACAUGCAUGUACAUUUACACACAAAUACAGAAAUUAACAAGUGCAGUUGAACAAGCAGCAAUAAUCAGUAGGGUGGUAUACAAAUUUAAUAAAACAAACAAACAAAACAAAACGAUCAGUUGCUGCUCCUGGACUGUAUCCUUCAAAUUAAACAGGGCCUAUUCUUUUAUUGGCUCACACUUAGAAGCCAUGGCAGAGUUUUAGCAAUCAAAGGAAAAUAACACAGACAUGAGGUUUCUCUCCACUUGACCAAACCAUUAAAUCAUUUAAUGUGAUUAAGAUAAUACAUGGAUUAUUUUGUUAUUAUUCAGUGUAUAUUCCUUAAGUUUAAACACCCAAACACUUUCUUGUUUUAAUUAAUUUUUAGGGCCCCAUUUUACUUGCUAAUAUUUUCCAAAUAUCCAGUGAAACCAAAUUACAACCUAAAUAACUGCUUUCCAGUUUCAAUAAUUUCAAACCUUUAUGGAAAAAAUAUUUUUCAAAAAAAAAAAAAGUGGGAUGAAUUAUCAGUUCUUUCAACAUUGAUCUAAGCUACAGUUUUACUUAAUAGCUGCAGCCAUGCAGGCUUUAUCCUCCCCAUCUUUAGUCAAUUGCUUCCUCAAUAUUACAAAUGAUUUUGAAAAAAACAGCCCAUGAUCACAAUGAUCACAGCCAGUGAGAUUUUGCAGUAUGAAAAUGUAGCAUGCUCAGGUCAAGCCAGAAUAACUGCAAAUUAUUCCUUCUUGACUAAUUGUAUGUACCCCUGGAUCCAAGAACUGUGAAUGGGACAACAUCACAAUUUUUAUAACUAACAUGGCUUGGCUACAUGAUAAUGCCAUUUAAGAUAAGACAACUGUUUUGAAAGAGAAUAUAAACUGAGUGCUGAAAAUUGUGGGGAAAACCAAGUGUCUUUCAACAAUGCUGAUGAUGUUUAGGAAAGGCAGUACAGAUGUCACACAUUUUUCCCACAUGGCAGUGGACAUGUGGGCUGCUUUCCCUUCUACAUGAAGCUUAUCUUUUUGUAAAAAAAAAAGGUGCCAUGCAUGAAAUGACCUUGCCUGACUAGCAGUUUCACUUCCUCUGUUGUGCAAUGCAAAAGUCACCGAAGCUGAAAUGAAUGAGAAGUUGAUGAAUGAAUAUUUAGAUAAACAUUAAGGCUCCUUGCACAUGAGAAUUAAUUGCAGGAAGACAGGAUUCCUGUUUGCUUGAGAGAUGCUACUCCUGGAGUCAGGGAGAAAUCAUUCUGAAUCAAGGUAGUGAGAUGCACCCUGAAGCUGUGCCUUGUUCAUCUCCUAAGGACUCUUGAGAAACAUUUUGGUCCUCUAUUCAACCCCCUGGGCACCAAAAUAAUGAAUGAGAGUAAUUGUGAAGAUGAAAAGCUUUCCAACUCACUCCUUUAUUUACUUUUUCUAUUAUUUCUUUCCACUCCCAGGUAAAGGAAUGAAGUUGGCCUGAAAGAUAGACCUGCAGGGGUGUGGCAAUAAAGUUAACAUGAAACAUUGCUUAAUAGUUAGUCAUUUUUUAAUAAAUUCUGGAGGAGGCUAUGAAUCAUUUGUUUAAAAAAAACCCUUCUAAAUCUUAAAUUCCUAAUUUGGUAUGCAUAUAUUCUAUUUGUACAUAAGGGGAUUAAUAGAACCCUUAGACAAAUACGCCUCUAGCAUAUAUUUUAUAUUCACUUUGCCAUGUUUGUGGAUCACGAGAGAGGAAGAAAUGUACAUUUCUAUUAAAAUAAAAAUAGACGCAUAACUCCUUUCAUAUCCUAAAGGAUUUGGCACAAAGCUUCAUCUCUUCCAGGAAAGGUAUUUUUCUUAGCAAGCACAACAAGUAGUCAAUUCAUUUUUUUCAGAUGAUCUAGCAUUAUCUAUGCAUAAGAUAGCAGUAAGUUUUGGUAAAUCCCAAGCUUGAGCAAAACUGUAUAAAGCAAGAAAAACCCAGAAGCUGUGGAAUAUUGGAUAACUGUUGUAGGGAUGCAAUGGAAUACCAGGCAUAUCAAUAUCGAAUGAAUUCUCUCUAGAGAGAGUAAACCAAUCUGGCUGACCGGUACAGCAAGAAUAUUUUCUACUGUAAGGUAUAACGGGAACCAUAUACAAAACUGUAGUCCCAUUCAUUUCAGGGUUUUUAAAAAGACAAGCAGAACUUCAUAGGGAUUUAUUUUUGUAAUAAUUACACAAUGAUUAUCAGUUCCAUGGCAUUCAGAACCUUAUUUAGGGUGGAAAGACAUUCUCCCAAUUGAUGGCAGAAACUAGCUAACCUUAGAUGGCCUUUAAAAAAAGCAAACCAGAAUAAGACCUGGCUAAUAUAUGGAUAGGAGUCAGCCAGGGAAUCUUAACACUGAACUAAACUGGGAAGGUAAAAAAAAAAAUCCCAGAAGAGGGUGAUGGCAAUCUACUUCUGUACUGUUGUCAAGAGAAGAAUACGGACAGUUUAUGUUGAUACCAAGCUAUUUUAUCAGGAGGGAAGAAGGAAGGGAGGGCAGGAGGAAAGAAGGAAGGAAGGAAAGAAGGAAGGAAGGAAAAAAGGGAGAAGAGACAAAAAUAAAACCAAUAAAGCAAAUCAUUUUAUUUGGAAGAACAUUAAAAAUGAACAGAAAAAAAAAGGGGGGGAGGGACAAGUGAAAGGAUGAAUAAGGCACUACAACCUUAUACUACAUUAUUACACUUCAACAUUGUUGGAGGUCCAAAUCCAAUGGCACCCAUUUUUCAGAAUCUCAUUACUUAUUCACCACAAGGGGCCAGUAGUGUGUUGACAGAGAGUUUUGGAUUUACUCUAUAUUUUCUCUUUGCUUAUCUCUCUGUCUAUCCUGUUUUAAGAGAUUGCUAAUCUGAGGUCACUUUCUUUUGCCUUUCAUGAUCUAGAUACACAUACAUGAAACACCUACUCUUAGUCUCUCCUUUGGAUGGGAUAUAGCUACCUAGGUGCUGGGAAUUGUUUUUCCCUCUGAUGUUUUUCCUUCAAAUAAAUCCCUUUUCUAUUAUAAUUACAAAUUUUGCUUCUCUGAACAUUGUUCAGAUUGGAUAUUUACCCUCAGAACACAUAGGAUAUAUUAAUCUCCAACAAUUACCAGAUUACAGGCCAUUUCUUAAAGAAAUUGCAGUCUUUCUAUUAUAUAAUUCCUUUGUUGUAAAUAAAAUGUGUGGGCAUGUAGGGUCUAUUUUAUUAAUUGCUAUUUUGAUUUGUCUCUUCCCACUGCUGUUACACCCCUUAAGAGCCAUCCGUGCCUAUUAGAGUUGCCUAUGUGAUGGGCAGAGUAAAUGCAAGGAAGAGAGCUUGGAGGUGGGUAUAUGACUGAAUCAUACCAGGGUGUGCAUAAUUAAAGAAUUAUUUGGAAGAUGCACUUCAGACUGCGCAUGUGCGUACCAUCUGUGCUAUUCGUUACAGUAGCUCAUUUUUUUCAGGCUACUGUGAGGCUAAAACGAUGCUGCUGCUGCUGUAAGUUUGCAGACCUUUUAAGAUUAAUGCCCCUUUUAAAGCAGACACAAUUUUCUUCAGGCCCAUGUAAGGACUGUUUUAAUGAAAAACAGAGAGUGAUGUGCUUGCAUAAAGUCCAACACACUUCUGAAUGAUUUUAGGAUAUGUACAAUAUGCGCACUAGAGUUCCAACAUCAUGUUGUUACAAUGUUUUGGGUAUUGUUUGUACCCAACAAUACCAUGUUUUUUUAAUCGUGAUGUUUGAAGCAUGUUUCACAAUGUAUAUACCCAGCUAAUUAUGUCUCAAUCACUAAGCACUGACUAUAAUUUGAGAUCUGUUGAUGUGGUUUAUAUGUGGUUUGUUCUAUGUAUGAGGAAUAGAAAAGCAUGUUUUCAUGUAUAAUGAGGUGUCUUUGGAGAACUCUAUCCAUAUACUUCCCCAAGUCCUCCAUGACUAAUUUCUUAUUUAGAUUCAGAAAUAUAAAUAGUAUUACAUCAAGUAAUAUAACUAUUUACAUUCUGUUUAUAUUUUAUUUUAUAUGCCUUAAAUUUCAUUGUUGCUGAGGAAUUAAACCUAUGUAUGUAUAUUUGGGGUUAGAUUACAUGUAUUGUUUCAUUACAUGUAAUGUUUUACCUUUGAAAAAUACAAAUAAAUGCAAAUGAAUACCUUCCUA
Long non-coding RNA from Pantherophis guttatus, 7644 nucleotides. RefSeq lists it as uncharacterized. The record is from RefSeq and is a predicted model, not a curated record. NCBI's taxonomy places the organism in Eukaryota, Metazoa, Chordata, Lepidosauria, Squamata, Colubridae.